ACAGGAAUCAAUCAGGGAAAGGCCUGU
Molecule: non-coding RNA, 27 nt
Filed under: Rattus norvegicus (Norway rat)
Lineage: Eukaryota; Metazoa; Chordata; Mammalia; Rodentia; Muridae
Source: RNAcentral